ACAUUAGCACAUCUAAAGCGACUGCAACGGUCAACACUGAGCAUCGCCACCUUUAAGUGUCAGUCGAGUUAAUAGCAACCAGCAAAUCUUUGGAAAGAGGAAGUCUGUUUUGGGUUCAGAGUAGUAGAUCAAACGGUGAACAUGCAUGUGUCUAUCUUUGUGCGCCACAUGCUUUGUUUUUUCACUCUGUCCAUGGUGAUCCUGUCUUUCACAGACCAAGGUCAAUGUUUUAGGGUGGAAGUUAGCUAUUGCACAAGGUAUGACAGGAAAGUAGCGGGACAGGUCAUUGCCUGCUAUGAACAAGAGAUUGGAAGGAAAAGCCCGAUUCAUGCAUUUCAACUGAAGUUAAAAAACGGCAGAACUAGAUGCAUCCAUCCCGAAGAACCCUGGCUCCAAAAGAAGCUGGAGAAAGACAAUAUAACGUGUGUUCCACUACUGGGUUAGUUAAAGGAAUCUCUUCUAGUCUCUACAAAGGAAAGGACACGCAACCUGCACAGAACACUUUUAUUUAUCUGUUUAUCUUUAAGUUGGGCAUUAUGUUCUUUGUCAUACCAAUUGUUUAAGCAGUAUUAAGCUGGUCAUCAUGCAAACUAAAAUAAUUUCAUUUAAUUUAUAAUCUUAAUUUAUUGACAUAU
Long non-coding RNA from Hypomesus transpacificus, 635 nucleotides. RefSeq lists it as uncharacterized. The transcript is spliced from 4 exons. The record is from RefSeq and is a predicted model, not a curated record. Lineage: Eukaryota; Metazoa; Chordata; Actinopteri; Osmeriformes; Osmeridae.